AGUGAACGCUGGCGGUAGGCCUAACACAUGCAAGUCGAACGGCAGCACAGUAAGAUCUUGCUCUUACGGGUGGCGAGUGGCGGACGGGUGAGGAAUACAUCGGAAUCUACUUUUUCGUGGGGGAUAACGUAGGGAAACUUACGCUACUACCGCAUACGACCUACGGGUGAAAGCAGGGGAUCUUCGGACCUUGCGCGAUUGAAUUAGCCGAUGUCGGAUUAGCUAGUUGGCGGGGUAAAGGCCCACCAAGGCGACGAUCCGUAGCUGGUCUGAGAGGAUGAUCAGCCACACUGGAACUGAGACACGGUCCAGACUCCUACGGGAGGCAGCAGUGGGGAAUAUUGGACAAUGGGCGAAAGCCUGAUCCAGCCAUACCGCGUGAGUGAAGAAGGCCUUCGGGUUGUAAAGCCCUGUUGUUGGGAAAGAAAAGCAGCAGGUUAAUACCCCGAUGUUCUGACGGUACCCAAAGAAUAAGCAACGGCUAACUUCGUG
RNAcentral lists this ribosomal RNA (492 nucleotides) under uncultured bacterium. RNAcentral describes it as "partial 16S ribosomal RNA". It matches the Rfam family "Bacterial small subunit ribosomal RNA", at positions 29 to 507 of the family's 1533-position model. The record is from RNAcentral.